Molecule: ribosomal RNA, 119 nt
Filed under: Propithecus coquereli (Coquerel's sifaka)
Lineage: Eukaryota; Metazoa; Chordata; Mammalia; Primates; Indriidae
Source: RNAcentral
GCUUAGCACCGCCCUGAGCGCGCCCGAUCCCGUCUGAUCUCGGAAGCUAAGCAGGGUCGGGCCCGGUUAGGAUCUUGGAUGGGAGAUAUUUCUUAAGAACAGACAGUUUAUAGUAAGCU